This 354-nucleotide ribosomal RNA is filed under the name uncultured Geobacillus sp. Its description in RNAcentral is "bacterial SSU rRNA". It matches the Rfam family "Bacterial small subunit ribosomal RNA", at positions 1029 to 1382 of the family's 1533-position model. Lineage: Bacteria; Bacillati; Bacillota; Bacilli; Caryophanales; Anoxybacillaceae. The record is from RNAcentral.
GGGUGACAGGUGGUGCAUGGUUGUCGGUCAGCUCGUGUCGUGAGAUGUUGGGUUAAGUCCCGCAACGAGCGCAACCCUCGCCUCUAGUUGCCAGCAUUCGGUUGGGCACUCUAGAGGGACUGCCGGCGACAAGUCGGAGGAAGGUGGGGGAUGACGUCAAAUCAUCAUGCCCCUUAUGACCUGGGCUACACACGUGCUACAAUGGGCGGUACAAAGGGUCGCGAACCCGCGAGGGGGAGCCAAUCCCAAAAAGCCGCUCUCAGUUCGGAUUGCAGGCUGCAACUCGCCUGCAUGAAGCCGGAAUCGCUAGUAAUCGCGGAUCAGCAUGCCGCGGUGAAUACGUUCCCGGGCCUU